Molecule: ribosomal RNA, 501 nt
Filed under: uncultured bacterium
Lineage: Bacteria
Description: partial 16S ribosomal RNA
Rfam family: Bacterial small subunit ribosomal RNA
Source: RNAcentral
AUUGAACGCUGGCGGCAGGCUUAACACAUGCAAGUCGAGCGGGGGAAGGUAGCUUGCUACUGGACCUAGCGGCGGACGGGUGAGUAAUGCUUAGGAAUCUGCCUAUUAGUGGGGGACAACAUCUCGAAAGGGAUGCUAAUACCGCAUACGUCCUACGGGAGAAAGCAGGGGAUCUUCGGACCUUGCGCUAAUAGAUGAGCCUAAGUCGGAUUAGCUAGUUGGUGGGGUAAAGGCCUACCAAGGCGACGAUCUGUAGCGGGUCUGAGAGGAUGAUCCGCCACACUGGGACUGAGACACGGCCCGGACUCCUACGGGAGGCAGCAGUGGGGAAUAUUGGACAAUGGGGGGAACCCUGAUCCAGCCAUGCCGCGUGUGUGAAGAAGGCCUUAUGGUUGUAAAGCACUUUAAGCGAGGAGGAGGCUACUCUAGUUAAUACCUAGGGAUAGUGGACGUUACUCGCAGAAUAAGCACCGGCUAACUCUGUGCCAGCCGCCGCGGUAA